CAUACCACGUGAUCUGCGGCGCACCAAUCAGAAUACAGCUGUGUACGCGACCAUGAUGGAUAACCGGCACGCAUGCAACAUGUGAGUGUGGCGCCCCGAGACCACUGUGGCAGGUGCCAACAACUAUUCACUAUGUAAUAGAUAUACCCCACUUUUUGACCGACGAAUGUCUUUCAUCAGCACAUUUUAUCAGUCAUCGGGGUAAAUAUGGCGUUGGGGAAGCACUGUUGCAGAACCAAUGGAGAACACUACACAGUACUCCAGCACAAACUCGUCUGACAACUUCGGUCCGGUUAGCGCGCUCCCUCCAGACAGCCGAGCCAUCGACGUAGGUUCUCCUUGCCUGGCUGUCGAGUGGUUAUCCCCACCAUUUACACACUGCCAUCAUUUCCCCACCCUCGAUGGUAUGCGAGGCCAACCCCAGCGACGAAAAACCCAGAGGGCCCCCUUUCUCCCCACCGCCGAGGAUCAUUCUCAAACCGUACCCCCUGGGUUAUCCCCCCGGACUCGUGGGAUUCUGGGUACUACGUAAAAGGGGAGUCACUCCUACACGCGAUCGUCUCAACACGCCUACAAUGCCCAUCUUCGAAUGGGAAUUAUCGAGAACAGUUGGUCAGCUUCGUGGAUAUUGGCCACCAAGAGCCGUAGAGCGGAUAUCGAAAUCUGUAACCAGAGGGGUUCAGCCGAGUCUUCGUAUGUAAUCCCAGAAGAAGCCCCAUGGUGUAGUGGUACAAUUUGAGUCUCGUGGUGGAUGAAGGAGGCCACGAGAACCAAUCAGAAAUCCCUCGGAUGCCCCUCGCAUAUCCACCAGCCACGCCUGCCAAUAUAGGUUGGACCAAAUUCGUCUUUCAAAAUGGCCUCCAAGCGGUCAUUUCCGUGGGUCCGAAAAUUUCAAUCCUAUGGUUUCAUGGAUUACAUCUGUCACCACUGGGAUUAAUCCGAUCCUUCUGAAUUGUCGAGUGAUUAAUAAAUCUUCAUUGGCGAAAAAAAAAAAAAAAUACUGGGCUUGAGGGUGGUCGUGUGAUACCCGAAAUCCAUUAGUCGUCUAUUCGACUGGAAGUGACGAUGUUUAUAUCGCAGCAUUUGAUGGUGAAUUUGGGGAGGGGGAAUGAGGGAAAAAGGGUUUGAUGCUCCUCGGAAAUCCACGUGAGUUAUAAUAAUCCAUGAAAGCUGCUGGUGGCGAUGUCGAGGAGCGCCGAAGCGGCCGCCCUGUCACAAAGGCAUGCGCCACCCACCACGUCCACUGUGGUGCUGUGAUCGUUAAUCAACUCUUCUGGUUCGGGACCCUGAAAACUUUUGGAGGUAUCUACAGGCCGCUCUUCGAUUGAAUUUGUGGGAACCAAAGUCACGCCAUUAGCCACCAGUACCUCAGCAUCAGGGCGUACGCCAUAGUCGGUAUUCUCUGCAUCAUAUAUGUCAUGUACCAGCCCGAUGAUAAUGAUGAUGACCGCAUCAAAAUAAGAAUACGUGAAAAGUGCCGCUGGUAUACCAGUGACCAAUUGAUUAUCAUUACGCACAAGGAUCCUCAGCACCAACGAAUACCCUCAUCAGAUGAAUGAAACUUACACGACAAGAAGAGAUCCCUUCGAUUGAUUUCCGCUGUCCAGCUGAGAACCUCGACUUUAAAUGGUUAUUAAUCGGUUAAAUCGCAUCAUUCUACCCGCUCCAGUCGGUGCUGAGGAACGAGCCAGGGCUGGCCCAUGGCUCACCGUCUUGGCCAGACACUAGGCCCACCAUGGGCCAGCACUGGCCGGUUUCUCCUGCCCAGGGAAUCCCACCCGGCCGCGGUCGGUUUUUGAACGCGAAACUUUUCGCAUGUGCGGCAACGGACUUAUCCACUUCCCCAAGCCGCCGGGCUAGGGCCAACACUACGAAGUGAGUCACUUUAAUUGCACAACAGGAACGUCCUAACAACCGAAAUAACAGUAUUUCAAGAUUUUCCCAAGUCUCCCCUGAUGAAGAGAAAAGGGAGUGCUUUCACAGUUGACGAGAGUGAUAACUUGCAAUGGCGAAGGGUUAUUUUUCAUCAGAAUGGUUGAUAUAGAUUCCGAGUACAUCCCACACGCUAAAAAACUAACUAACGCUUGAGAAGUGUGGGAAUCUGCAUGAAGCAGACAGUAAAAAACCAAAAAAGCCUGUGCAGUGGAGCAUAAACGAGCGCAUGACGUCAUGCAUCGCGGAAAUGUGACAAUUUAGUGGCUCAUCAGGGCCGAGUAAUUCGAUCCACGAGAGAACACAUCCGAGUGAAUUUUCUGGUAAAGAGUGGGCUCUUCAAUUAAUUACAAUUUUAAUGAUGUUGGGGAAUCGGUAACGAUUAAUGAAGUCAACGAUUUAUUCUGCAUGAUUUGUUGAAGAGUCACGAUACACACAGUGGCUGUACGGUUCAUCUGGCUCACGUGACCAACAGCAUCGAUCAUUCCUCUACACCGCCUAUCUGAUGCUUUAUCGCGUCAUCCUGCCCUCUCCAUCAUUAACAUGCCGAUUCACGACUCCUGUCAAUGCCAGUUAUCUAAUUACAUCAUUUCAAAAACCAAAACAGAUGUUGUAAUGAUGUAAUGGUGGAUUUGUGAGGGUCAGGUGAAUUCAGUAGCUGAUUUUUGGAUGGAAGUGAUACGAGUAUUCGAUGUUGAAGAGCAAGUGCACCGAUAAAAACAGUUUUUUGAAGUACAGGUCUUCUUGGAUGGAGAAAUUUACGGUUCACAUGUGAAUAAGGGAGUAAUAUCUCUCAUUGGGAGGGAGAAAAUUUUCAUUAAGAAAUUUAUUUGUAUUUGAAAUGGAAUUUAUUGAAUAAAUUGGAGUUGGAUCGAUUUAUUGACGUUUUCUUGUCUGAAAUUUGGAGUUAGUAAAGACAAAAGCACUUGACUAGGGUCGACAAGU
This is a long non-coding RNA of Diachasmimorpha longicaudata, 2877 nucleotides long. RefSeq lists it as uncharacterized. NCBI's taxonomy places the organism in Eukaryota, Metazoa, Arthropoda, Insecta, Hymenoptera, Braconidae. The record is from RefSeq and is a predicted model, not a curated record. The transcript has 8 exons.